Molecule: long non-coding RNA, 1490 nt
Organism: Ananas comosus (pineapple)
Lineage: Eukaryota; Viridiplantae; Streptophyta; Magnoliopsida; Poales; Bromeliaceae
Exons: 2
Source: RefSeq, a predicted model, not a curated record
GGCGGUGGUAGGCCGCCGACCCGAGCUCGCGCCUCCAGGCGCGGCACACGGAGCGGCCCGCGGGCAGGCGGUCGUACGGCACGCGGAUGAGGCACUCGCGCGCCACCUCCUGCGGGAGCCCCGGUAUCAGAGAGGAAGCGGUUGAAACUGGAAACGGGAGGGAGGAGGAACAUUGGAACAACGACGACGGAUGCUGCGGGAGCCCGCAGAGAGGAGGGGGGGUUAUUAUAACUUAAUAUGUGCGCCCGCCCGCCCCGCGUGUCAGGCUCUGAGCGGUAAUUGGCUAAAGCGUCACGGCGAAGAGAUCCGAGUCCACAGAAAAGGAGACCUGGUGGGCCGCGGCCGGUUAUGUUCAACAAUAUCUUCUAUUUUUGUAUUUAUUUAUUUUUUUGUCGCGUAACUGCACUCGGGCAUCUCCUGUCAGAAAAUAAUAACCAUAUAAGUAAAUAAAUUAAAUUAAAAAAAAAAAAAAGGGACAAGGAUUGAAGAGAACGUACGCUAUGGUCGAUUGGAGAAAGGCGAUGACGAUAUGUGGUGAGGGCGGAGCGGAGCGGAGGGACAGCAUGGCGGAUUGGGGGUGGGGCCCAGCUUGUAGGACAGCCACUCACCGGCUUACAGGUGGCAUCUAAUAAGCGGGCGCGCGGGAACCCGUUUCAUCCCGCGGAUUCUCUGGAGCUCCGUCGUCGCGGAUUGACCGCGUUUAAGUCGGCGCCCCUAUACUGCGGUGGCAUAAACAAUUUCUGGAUCCGAAUACAGUGCGAGGAUAUUGUUAUCCGGAGACAAAAGCGACGGUAAUAAUAAUAAUAAGUAAUUUAUUAGGGAUGAAACAGAUGAAUGAUGAGUCGGAUACUGCUCUGGAUAUAUAUUGGCCGGAUGCUAAAAUUCAAUCCACGUUUCAGAAAAAGACAAAUAUUUCAAUGUAAAUCCGAUAUUAGUUCAUUCCAUCCAUCAUUCUAUGUCUCCGUGCUUUGACAAUUUUGAAGCAGUGUGUGAUGUGUGGCUCGCAAAUGGGAGAGCUUAGGAUUGCGGAAUCCAGGAAAACUGAGAGUGGGUAGGGAUGUGGAAGGGAUGGUCGGGUGAGUCAGCACGAGAGGGCAAAUCUGAGCGUCUAUGCCGUGAGGAGUUCCUGCUGAGGACACGAAACAGCGAAAGCUACUUUUCAAACGACUGUUAUCAGUUGGGAAUCUUAUCUUCGUGGUGGGGACUAUAAUGUGGCCGUAUCCUUAUCCUGCAUGGAAUUAUAAAUUGAUUCUAGAUGCGAGAGUUUAUGCGCAAAUAGAAGUCGAUAUGCCCAUAUCAAUCUUAUCCGAUCGCAAUAGUUACAGGAAGGAAGAUUUUUUUCUUUUUCCUUUUUUUUUUUUUUUUCAUUUUUACUCUAAUGGAUGGUCUUAGAGUUUAGAAACUUAGGAAAAAAAAAAACUUCAAAUACCACUACGUGGUUCAGUACUUUUUUAUUUUAAAACCAUAUUAUUUACCGUGUAUCUCUUUAA